Molecule: ribosomal RNA, 341 nt
Filed under: Rhodovibrio sp.
Lineage: Bacteria; Pseudomonadati; Pseudomonadota; Alphaproteobacteria; Rhodospirillales; Rhodovibrionaceae
Description: bacterial SSU rRNA
Rfam family: Bacterial small subunit ribosomal RNA
Source: RNAcentral
GGGGGCAACCCUGAUCCAGCCAUGCCGCGUGGGUGAAGAAGGCCUUAGGGUUGUAAAGCCCUUUCGGCGGGGAAGAUGAUGACGGUACCCGCAGAAGAAGCCCCGGCUAACUCCGUGCCAGCAGCCGCGGUAAUACGGAGGGGGCUAGCGUUGUUCGGAAUCACUGGGCGUAAAGGGCGCGUAGGCGGACCAGCAAGUCAGGGGUGAAAGCCCUGGGCUCAACCUAGGAAGUGCCCUUGAAACUGCAGGUCUUGAGUCCGGGAGAGGAGAGCGGAAUUCCCAGUGUAGAGGUGAAAUUCGUAGAUAUUGGGAAGAACACCGGUGGCGAAGGCGGCUCUCUG